Molecule: long non-coding RNA, 313 nt
Filed under: Elaeis guineensis (African oil palm)
Lineage: Eukaryota; Viridiplantae; Streptophyta; Magnoliopsida; Arecales; Arecaceae
Description: long non-coding RNA (EGUI_LNC011360)
Source: RNAcentral
CACAGGUAGACUUCGGUCGAGCUUCUUCGUAGUCGGGUCCCGCGCCAACCGAUCUUCGACCGAGCUUCUACAAUGGGACAUGACUCAUCGGUCAGGUCGCUACUCCGAGCUCCCACGACAACUGAUCUUUGACCGAGCUUCUACAAUGGGACAGGACUCAUCGGCCAGGUCGCUACUCCGAGCUCCCACGGCAACUGACCUUCGACCGAACUCCCAUAGCGAUUGGAUAUUGGAUGAGCUUUUACGACGAUCGGGCUCCAGCAACUGGGUUCCUAUAACGACCGAUCGCCUCCGGUGCCUGUCGAACCUCCCC